Non-coding RNA from Panthera uncia (snow leopard), 983 nucleotides. The record is from the annotation of a RefSeq genome assembly. NCBI's taxonomy places the organism in Eukaryota, Metazoa, Chordata, Mammalia, Carnivora, Felidae.
GCUCCCAAAAACCUCUGUCCUUAUACUUUAAAGAGGUGUUCUGUCGGCAUUUUUUAGACAGUGACAUAUAAAGAAUCUCAGACAACAGGGGCAGACAGUUUUGCCCGGAGAGCAUCUCUUCCUAACAGUCCCGAAGAAAAAGGAAUCUAAAUCUAUCAUUCCUCCUCAACCUCAGAGCAAUCUGGAUUCAAGUCCCCUCAGUCAUCAGAUUUUAUUUGUGUGUGAACAACUUCCCAGAAAGAAAACUCUCUGGUUCUUCACUGCUUGGCCAUGACCUUGGUGUUCAUCUUGACGCUUGGGGUGCUUCUGUUCCUGAGAGGAACUGGAGCCCAGUCACUGACCCAACCUGACGGCCACAUCACUGUCUCUGAAGGAGCCCGUCUGGAGCUGAGUUGCAACUAUUCCUCCAGUGGAACUACUUAUCUCUUCUGGUAUGUGCAGCACCCCAACCAAGGACUCCAGCUUCUCCUCAAGUACUCUUCAGGGCCAUCAGAUGCCCUGGUUCAAGGCAUCAAAGGUUUCGAGGCUGAAUUUAAGAAGAGUGAAAAGGCCUUCCACCUGAGGAAACACUCAGCCCAUUGGAGCGACUCGGCCAAGUACUUCUGUGCUGUGAGUGACACAGCGCCUGGGACUACAGGGGGAGCUGAACACAAACCUUCUAAGACACUGUAACUUAAAGGACUAAGGGUCUCAGCCUGAAUUGUUUUCAGGAAGUUGACAUGUUCUGUAAAGACAAACAAUACAGAUAACACAGAAUCCUGGGAAGUGUUUGGUUUCUAUGGACAUCUUAGAUAUUUUCCCUUUUUCUUUUUUUUAAACUUGUUUUAUUUUUUAUUUUUUUAAAUUUACAUCCAAAUUAGUAAGCAUAUAGUGGAAAAAUGAUUUAAGGAGUAGCUUCCUUAGUGCCCCUUACCCAUUUAGCCCAUCCCUCUCUCCCACAACCCCUCCCAUAACCCUCAGUUUGUUCUCCAUAUUUAUGAGUC